GGCAGAGAGAGAGAAGAGAAAAAGAAAAGCAGAGGAUUCCGAAAACCUAGCUAAUCCUACUCGAAAACCCUAAUUAAUGAAGAUCGUGAUCGAAAUGUUACAAGCAAGCCGAUCGGGGAGGAUUCAGUUGAACAGACAUACCGGCGGGAGGAUCUGGUUGUUUAGCAUUCUCAUCCGCCAUUAGAGAGAGGAAAGCUCGAACAAUCUCUGGCGCAAGAAUGUGUUGCAGAGGUGAGUGAGAGAAGAGCGUGAAGAUUUUGGGGAAGAAGCGAG
Molecule: long non-coding RNA, 273 nt
Filed under: Eutrema salsugineum
Lineage: Eukaryota; Viridiplantae; Streptophyta; Magnoliopsida; Brassicales; Brassicaceae
Description: long non-coding RNA (ESAL_LNC001278)
Source: RNAcentral